Molecule: long non-coding RNA, 364 nt
Filed under: Calidris pugnax (ruff)
Lineage: Eukaryota; Metazoa; Chordata; Aves; Charadriiformes; Scolopacidae
Description: lncRNA (ENSCPUG00000012079.1)
Source: RNAcentral
CGCUGCCGAGCCACAGGCUGCCUGCAAAAAUAUCUGCCUAUGUAUAUGUAUGAGGAGAACUCGCUUUAAAAGGCAUGGGCGAGGCAGUGAAAAUGUGCUAAUAGCGUGGCAUCUGGCCGGGCACCUGACAGUAUGGCAUCUGACAGUGGAACCAGGGGAAGGAAAUGGCAGCUUGAAGCUGAGAGCAAGAUUUCCCCGUAAUGUGAAACAGUACACUGGCCCUGGUGUGAAAGGAACUACGCUGAUUUACAUCCAGAAAGGCUGUGGCUCUCUAGCAUACUAAAUAUCCCGUGCUAUUGCUGCACCAGGUACUCAGCUGAGGUAUACAACUGUCCAGUGCUCACAGUACUGUGGGGAAAUGCUC